AACCCUGGUAUUCACACGGCAAGCAACCCUACAUAUAAACAAUCAGUUGCUUAAACAAAUUAUAUAAAGCAAAACCCCUCUUUCAUUUUAAAAUAGUGUGUAAAUAAUAGGCCUCCAUCUGUGUUAUUCUUUUAAAAUGUCCACCCCUCUUUAAUUUUAAAAUAGUAUGUAAAUAAUAGGCCUCCAUCUUUGUUAUACUUUUAAAAUGUCCCUAUAUAGCCUAUGCGAAAUGCAUCCUGGGAUAUUUGACGGUUCCAGCACAGGCACACAAGUACAGAAAAGAACACGAAUUGUGAAACAUUCCUUUUUGCAUGGGCAAUUUGUGUAAAUAUGAAACAAUAUCAGAUGUUUGAGUUUUUGUUGGAGUAUACAAAUAAAAAAAACACACUAUUUACAACACCACACUAUAUAAAAAAAAUCACACUAUUUACAAUAUCUUCGUUUUACAGGGGCCUGGAGUGUUUUCAGGGGCCUGGUAGUGUACCUCCGUUCCCGUUCUCGUCCAUGUCGUCAAUCAUUGUCGAACACAAUGGCUGGGACGAAUCCGUAUCUGAUGGGAGGAAAGAUCGUUUCCAUUAUUUUUUACAUUUGGCUAAUAGGUGUUAUACAUGACAGAUCAAAUCCAUAUUUGAAGACAAUCUCUGAUGGGAGGAUGAGGAAUCAGUAUCCGAUGACAAAUCAAAUCCAUAUUAACACCAUGUAUAGUCAUACCUUGGGAGGCGGUUGUGCGGUUCUGGUUGUCGUGUUCUAGAAAUGAAAGCAAAUGUUAAUAUUAAUUAGUAAUUUGGAUGGGUAUGCAUUUGUUUGCUUGUGUACGCUAGGUUAAUUUGUAGAGUAUAGUCUAAUAGGUAAAAUAAGACUAGAAAUCUCUAACCAAAUUAAAACACAUGUUGUUGGGUAAUUUGCAUUACCUUGGGAGGCGUUGAUAAGUUGGAGGUCAUCCAGUUCUAGAUAUGAAGGAAAGAAAUGUUAAUAUUCCAUUUGUAAUCAUCCUUUGGAUUGGGAUGCACAUUUUGUAAGCUAGGUUAAUAAAUGAGUCGGUUGGUUG
This 1048-nucleotide long non-coding RNA is filed under the name Gadus morhua (Atlantic cod). RNAcentral's name for it is "lncRNA (ENSGMOG00000031228.1)". Lineage: Eukaryota; Metazoa; Chordata; Actinopteri; Gadiformes; Gadidae. The record is from RNAcentral.